AUGAUGAACGCUAGCUACAGGCUUAACACAUGCAAGUCGAGGGGCAUCAGGAAGAAAGCUUGCUUUCUUUGCUGGCGACCGGCGCACGGGUGAGUAACACGUAUCCAACCUGCCCUUUACUCGGGGAUAGCCUUUCGAAAGAAAGAUUAAUACCCGAUGGCAUAAUGAUUCCGCAUGGUUUCAUUAUUAAAGGAUUCCGGUAAAGGAUGGGGAUGCGUUCCAUUAGGUUGUUGGUGAGGUAACGGCUCACCAAGCCUUCGAUGGAUAGGGGUUCUGAGAGGAAGGUCCCCCACAUUGGAACUGAGACACGGUCCAAACUCCUACGGGAGGCAGCAGUGAGGAAUAUUGGUCAAUGGGCGCUAGCCUGAACCAGCCAAGUAGCGUGAAGGAUGAAGGCUCUAUGGGUCGUAAACUUCUUUUAUAUAAGAAUAAAGUGCAGUAUGUAUACUGUUUUGUAUGUAUUAUAUGAAUAAGGAUCGGCUAACUCCGUGCCAGCAGCCGCGGUAAUACGGAGGAUCCGAGCGUUAUCCGGAUUUAUUGAGUUUAAAGGGAGCGUAGGUGGACUGGUAAGUCAGUUGUGAAAGUUUGCGGCUCAACCGUAAAAUUGCAGUUGAUACUGUCAGUCUUGAGUACAGUAGAGGUGGGCGGAAUUCGUGGUGUAGCGGUGAAAUGCUUAGAUAUCACGAAGAACUCCGAUUGCGAAGGCAGCUCACUGGACUGCAACUGACACUGAUGCUCGAAAGUGUGGGUAUCAAACAGGAUUAGAUACCCUGGUAGUCCACACAGUAAACGAUGAAUACUCGCUGUUUGCGAUAUACAGUAAGCGGCCAAGCGAAAGCAUUAAGUAUUCCACCUGGGGAGUACGCCGGCAACGGUGAAACUCAAAGGAAUUGACGGGGGCCCGCACAAGCGGAGGAACAUGUGGUUUAAUUCGAUGAUACGCGAGGAACCUUACCCGGGCUUAAAUUGCAGUGGAAUGAUGUGGAAACAUGUCAGUGAGCAAUCACCGCUGUGAAGGUGCUGCAUGGUUGUCGUCAGCUCGUGCCGUGAGGUGUCGGCUUAAGUGCCAUAACGAGCGCAACCCUUAUCUUUAGUUACUAACAGGUUAUGCUGAGGACUCUAGAGAGACUGCCGUCGUAAGAUGUGAGGAAGGUGGGGAUGACGUCAAAUCAGCACGGCCCUUACGUCCGGGGCUACACACGUGUUACAAUGGGGGGUACAGAAGGCAGCUAGCGGGUGACCGUAUGCUAAUCCCAAAAGCCUCUCUCAGUUCGGAUCGAAGUCUGCAACCCGACUUCGUGAAGCUGGAUUCGCUAGUAAUCGCGCAUCAGCCACGGCGCGGUGAAUACGUUCCCGGGCCUUGUACACACCGCCCGUCAAGCCAUGGGAGCCGGGGGUACCUGAAGUACGUAACCGCAAGGAUCGUCCUAGGGUAAAACUGGUG
RNAcentral lists this ribosomal RNA (1444 nucleotides) under uncultured organism. Its description in RNAcentral is "SSU rRNA". It matches the Rfam family "Bacterial small subunit ribosomal RNA". The record is from RNAcentral.